This 8079-nucleotide long non-coding RNA is filed under the name Gallus gallus (chicken). The record is from RNAcentral. Lineage: Eukaryota; Metazoa; Chordata; Aves; Galliformes; Phasianidae.
CAGAACUUAGGUUAAAGUUCAGGGCUCUGUUUGAUCAGAGUCCAGAACUCACACUUUGGAUGACUGAGACAUCUGAUGACAAGAUGUGCGUGAAUGAAAACUUGAAAGUCACAUUUUCACAUCGUGAACUGUACGUAUGCCCAUGGAUUUUUCCUUUCCUUCAGGGUGUUCUUUAUCAGCGAGAUAAACGUAAAGCUACAGGGACUGCCGCCUUUAUUUUAUACCCAGAAAUACACAGAAAGCAACAAUACAAAGUUCUCCUGGAUGACCAAGAUGCCUUAGCCGUGACUUGAGCUGUUGACAGCAGAAAAGACUUGAUGAAAGGCGAUCCAAACGAGAGCUGGCUUGCGUGCGCGGGUCCUUCACUCGUGAGUGCCAACUCGUGAGGGAGUUCAUUUACCAGUGACAAGUUUUGACCGUGGACACAUCCCGACGUACGUUGUGCAAGAGGCAAGAAAUCUGUGUAAACAGAUGAACGCGACUUUCUGAUUCACGGCAGUUGCGGAGUUAUCAAUGUAAGAGGCGAACGUUUCACAUUUUCCACCCGUUUUCCAUAUGCCUGAUGACAUAAUGGCUUCACCAGAAGCUGCAACGCAUUGGAGGAAGGAUUUAUCACAGCUGCAUUUAUUUUUCCUCUACUUCAUGGCUUCAGCAUUCGUGGAGGGAUUGGCUUGAAGAGGAGCGUUCACUUGCCUUUCCGUCUGUAGUCCAGUAUUACUAUUGAAUCUCCUGUUCCGACGCAGAGGAAAAAAAGGAUGUUUAAAAAAUAAGAAGGCAGAAUAGGGAGAGAAGCCCUCAGAUAAAUCAGGCAUGCUGCUGGGAGGUGGCUGUGAACCCGUCCCCAGCAGGAACUGAGCUCGGCGGGGAUUAGGAGCAAAAUGCCUUGAACCAGCUGCCUGCAGGAGUCGGAGGAGCCUGGGAUGUCCCUGAUAAGUAAGGGAUUACUCAGUUUCUGCAGGAGAGACUUCUAAUCUGCCAAGGACCACGUCCUUGGUUGAGAAUAGUGGUGCUUCACCAGUGGAAAAAGCGUCUGCCACCGAGCAGCCUGGUUCACUGUAACAGUAUGUGAGAAGCUUUCAAAAUAAAGCACCCCUGAAAAGGCAGCAGAUGUGAAUCCAAGCAGCUGGGAUAUCUGUAGGGUGGCACAGGGCUUACUGCUGAACCACAGCUUUCUGAGAGCAGCUGUGCUGCCGUGGGCACCUAGCAUGGCAAUAACCACAUAUGUUGGGGUACCUUUACCAUCUGAAGCGCUGUCUCAGCCCCUGUUCCUCUGUGCUGAUGGUCACUUACUCACAGGGAGCCCCUUUUUAAAGGUGCUGUAUUCGUCUGUAGUCCUCAGAGGCCCAGAAACACUGUAAUUGCUGGGUUGUAUUUAUCUGCAGCCUGUGCAGCGUGUGGCGAUUGACCUGAUAAGUAACAAAGUCCUGGCAUUUCUUCCUUCCUAAACGAUCCUGUGAGCAUUUAGUGCUGACCAGUACAAAGAGGGCAGGGAAUAACAGACUAGCCUAUGGGGCCAGAGACAGCAUAUUAGCAAACACCUGUUUGUAUCUGCCCUCCAGUGAUGAAAUCGUAAGCCCCGGGUUGCCAGAGCUUCCGCCUGUGUGUCCCUCUCUCCCCAGCGGAUCAUCAGAUAAACCUGUCAGCACCAGCAGGGCAUGUGACAGAUGGUGUGAGUUCCUUUUAAACAGCUGAACUCCUGUACCAAGGGGUAAUCUACAGCUCGGGGGAGUGGCGAGUAUGACGGAUAUAAAUAUGCCAUCACGAGUUUGUGGCAUAACUAGGAUGAAUGAAUGAGGCAAAAGUAAGUAUUCAUAUGUGGCUUCCAAACUCUGGCCCUGUUAAACCCUCUUAAAUGUGAGUCCCAUUCGUCACUGGCGAUACUGUGAGACUGUAGACAAAAACAUUAUUCGUUCACUGAAAUAAAUGGAUAUACCUCAGACUGUUACUCGCCAGUCUUAAAGGCUCGAUAGAAUGAAUCCUCUUGAUAGAACAAAUGAAGAUAUAUUCUAGAAAAGAGGCUGUGUUUAAAAAUCCCUGCCGGACCCUACAGAAACAAGAGGGCUGUCAAAAUGAAGGGUGAGUUCUGUCUCUAUGCUGACAAUUACCUGCAGAGCAUCAGCACUUUAGGGUUCGUACAAAAGCUGCUGUUUGUGAGCCUGUGCCAGCACAACGGUAGGAUGACUUCUCACCCCACACAGCUUGCUUUGUUCCCCUUCAUUUGCCACUUGGGUUUCUGCAAUCUCAACUCAGUAGGUGCUCAGGAAAAUGUGAGCGUCAAGACUUCAAUUGUAUGAAGGUAUUCCUUUGUAUUGUGCAGGUUCCUCUGCCAUCACGCAGGCUGGGUAUCCCAAUAGCUAGCACUCAGUAUUAAGGGAGCCUGGCUUCACAAGCACGUAAGAACAAAAAUAAAAACCAGGGAAAACAACCCAGCUCCUAAAGCGAGUUAUAUGGUUCUGUAAAAUACAUCUUGCACGAUGGUACUUCAAAAAGAAGAAGGAAAAUAUGUUAACGAGAAGAUUGCCCUCUAAUUUUAGCUUAGCCUUGGGUGAAUGUAUUUCAGCUAAGACUUUCCAAAGCACUUAAGAGCUCCUACAGGUUCUGUAAGAGCACAUCCCUCUACGCCUGAGGCUGUUGCUUGUUGCUCACCUAUUGCUCCUGUUCACCUGCACUUCACAACAUGAAAAUGAAACAGCUGCUGAACGUUUUAUCAGACCUGCUAGACAAAAGGCAAAUGAAUCCUCCACAUCUUCAAACGCUGGUGCCAGAGACCUCACCUGAAACGUUGCUCUGUCUGAAUUGCAGAUCUUUGAUCCUGAGGAUCUGUUUGUCUCAGCUGGAGCAAAACCUGGGGGAAGGUUGCUUGGCUUUGCUAUUCAGGCUUCUAGUUUUGCGGGUCAAAGUUGCCUGCGUGGUGUUUCCUACCCAUCAGGAAGGAGAGAAGCUAUCACACGGUUCAUCUUUGGCACCCAGACCCUGCAGCCAAAUUCUUGGGCCGAGAAGUGGUGGUGGCCUGAAGCUGCAGAGGAACAUGGCAGAGUCCUUAUGGAGCACAGCACUGUGGGAUAAGCUUCAUUUGCUGCCUACAGUUCUCCACAGGAUGCGAGUCCUCCAGGAAACCAGAUGGAGGUAAACCAUACUAUUCCAACACAUUUCUCUUGGUGUAGCUGUGUCCACACAGGGAAGGCAAUGGCUUAGCUAGAUACAAGCAGCUUGUAGACACCAAGAAGCUCCAAGUUUCUCGUUGGCAUUUUAACUUUACCAGGGCAGAGUUCAAAGGUAUUUGGAAGGCUCAGAUGAUGUGGCUUCUGUUGUCUACUUUGCUGAGAGUCUGCCAGGUGCAAGCGACGUGGUGGGCACCCAUCUUUUCCAAUAAAGGAGGACUUACAGUGGGAGAACUGAAAAGGAGGAAGCAAACUCUGGUGUCAGCUACCAACAGCUGGAUUUGCAGUUUCUUGCCCUGGCUUUGUAUUUGAGCAUACAUCAUGUCUCCUGGAAAUAAGCUGGAAGAAUGUGACUAUAUUGUGCCUCCAUGCUGAUGAAGAUGCAUGGGGGAUAGGACAGCACAUGGUGAAUAUCGCUGUGCAGGGAAGAUAAAUUAGCCCAUGCCACUGUCUCCAUCCCUGGCAGAAUUUCUUUAGUGAGCCAGAUGGCUGAGCUGCUUGGGGACAAGAUUUAAGCAGUGUUUCUCAGUUCUGUGAGAUUCAGAGGUGAUUGCAGGCUUCACUCACACAGUGGUACCCACUUGUUAAAGUAACCCAUGGGUUCCAAAACUCAACACCAGACAAACAGUGCUGUCUGUGAGGGAGUAGGUGGUCCAUGGUGAAUCUGAUGUAGGCUAUGACAAUAAUUAAUGUCCUGUGAAGCUGUAUCUCUCUGGUGCUUAUUUUAAGUCAUGCUGGAGUCGGAGAAGGAUGUGCGAGGUGCUGUUGUCUCCCAAGCACCCUCUCAUGUCCUCCUGGCCCAUGCUGCCCUUUUGAGAAAUGCCCUAAGUGGAUCACUCCAAAGCUAUUUGGAACAUAAGAUUAACAGAGGGGUUAUACUUCACCCUUUGGGGUCAAUCUCUGUUCAUUUGGGGACAGCAACCCUAAAAUUUUCACAAGAAGCUUUGUAUUCAAUCAUGGAUGCUAAAGGCUUACACUGUCUGCUCUUCUAGAUGGUCCAAAUCUGUUUUCAAAUGGUAAUAGAAGGCCUACAAUCCUUAUUUGUUUGACAUACAUGAAUGUUUUGCUAUUCACAUCUAUGCAAAUGUUAUUUUUAUGUACAGAGGUUACUUACUGUGGACACUGGGAAAGCCAGGACACUGAAAAGAAGGUCUCUGCUGGAAAUUACGCACUUAGCACAUCGCAGUUCCUUAAUUAGCCUCAAGACAUCAGCCAGGAAGGACACCCCAUAGAAGACAGCCUGCAAAAACUAAAGUAAUUACAUCUAAUGAGGGAAACUCAUCCAGCUUUAAUUAGCAUGUUCCUUACUGAACUCCAUUCUUGCUCUUCAGGGAGCUGUUUUGUUCAUGAGCUGCAAGCCCGCGUGAGGGAAAUAGCUGUGGGCUAAAUCUUUUUUACUAACUGAAAGUGAUUAAAUAAAGUAGUUUGGGAGAUAACUUUAACGGUAUCUCGUUUAACAGACUAAACAGAGAUGUGUCAUGUGAUUCAGAUCCAGGAGUGGAAGGACAUGUUGAAAGCAGCUCCAUCGCGCCUUAUAUGUUAAUUGUUAUGUUCAGUGUAUCCAAGGAGGAACAGAAGUGAACAAAAUUUGGAAUAUGCCAGGAGAUGUUUCCUGUAAGGGAACUGCUUGAUAGUUUCUCCCAUGGUUUAGUCAAUGCUGGCUCUUCUCUCUGGGUACUCGUAGUGCAACUGACCCCAGGGCCGUAGGAGCCAAGGAGUUCAGGAUGCUCCAGUACGAAAACCAGCUGCGGAAGUCACCAAACCAGAAUCUCUGUUGCUUAACUCAGGGGGAUUCAGGGAAGGAUUUCAAGUGGUUGGAAGCAGAGAUCCAGACUUUACUAACUAACACUGAGUACAUUCGAACAUUUCUAACUAAUAAAUUUUGGAGCGCAUAUGGGAUUUUUCUUAUAAAUCAUAUGCAAGUUAUGAGUGUAGGGCUGCUUAGAGAAGAUGGUAGGAGGAUUUUGUAAACGAUCAGGUAAGUGCAAUGUGGCAAAACAGAAUUCUGCAAAUUGCGUGUGAAAUUGUGUGUGAAAUUGUGUAUGAAAUUGUCAGAAUGUCGUGGUUUAAGCCAAUACUGCUUUUUCUGAUUACUUUGUUUUCUCUCACAGUGCUACACAGCAACUCAUGCUGAACCAGAUGUGUCAGACACACAAAGCCUAGCAGAAAAAAAUCUUCUGCUAUCUUGCAUUCAGACAGCUGAGUCUAGUUUGGUUCUGUUAAUUCACGGGGUGGCCUCUUCUUUAAGGCUAGUGUGGACCAAAGUGAUGCAACAUGGGGAAAUCAGCCUUCAGCAAAUUCUGGACCAGCUGCUGAUGCUCAAAUGCUGUGUUACAGCUUUCAGGAUGAGAUCUCUUUUGCCAUGAUCUUAUUCUGAAUCAAUGUUUAUUUCGAGAAAAGUAUCUGAAGUUGUUGCUGAUUACUUCAUUAGUUUGUGAAGGAGCCGAGAAGGGUGGUGCUUGGGAGGGGACAGAAUUAAUGCAACACUUCUCCUUCCAGAAUCCCUGUUAUGAAAAGGAUCGAGGGAAGGAAGAACUGAUUUCACCAUACCCACCUUCACACUAGUACUUCUGCAAGCUUUGAUAGAACAUUUUAGAGUCCAAGGUGACUUGCAUGCAGCCACUCAGGAUGAGGUCACACAUCAUCUGGUUCAGCUGCAAAACCUCACGUCUCUUCUAUAGAGCAUGAGGUGAACAGCUGCAUUUUUUGUAUAAAAAUACACACGUGGUUUUGUUCAACCCCAAGGUGUCUAAACCAGCUCUUUAAAUGUGGUUCCCAGCACAAAUUCAUAGAAUUGUAGAAUGGCUUGGGUAGGAAGGGACCUCAGAGAUCAUCCAGUUCCAAUCCCCUGCCACAGAGAGGAUUUCCACACAGUGCCAGCCAGGGUCCCAUGUGACCUGGCCUUAAAUGCCUCCAGGGAUGGAGCAUCCACAGCUUCUUUGGGCAUGAAUCUGAAUCCACUUGGGGAUUCAGCCCUCCAAAUCAUGGUUUUGGUUCAUAGAAGUAUGUGUCAAGGUAUAGUGUGCUUAGAGCCACACACACACUCAACCCAAACACGUCCGAGUGCUUGGCCUCACCAAAACCAAGACCAACCACUUCAAGAGCUAAGAAAAGCCUGGUAAUAAACAGAAGCUCUUGUUACACCCUGUAGAGCCAGCAGUAACUUUCUGUAAAAAGCCCGAAAAAUGAGCAUGAGGGUGGUGACAAUCUGGUGACACAUAGUGACUAAUGACCAAUAAAGGAGCUAGGGAAAGGCAUGGUUCCCAGAGGAUGGGGCUAUUAUUAUCCCGUUCGUGUUCAGCCUUAUAUUAGUCAUGGGACAGAGAUAGGCUUCUCCCUCCCCAUGACCCUUCAAAGUUAAUUAAAAUAAACGUAUCUGAAAAGAAACACAGAGUUCCAAAACAGCCAUGUCAGUCUGUUAAAUAUUCUGUCUUAUUUAGGGGAGAAGAAUGUUAUCUUGUGAAUGGAAAGUACUCAUCCAAAUAUGUAACCCAAUCCAUUUCUCUAGCUGAGCACUAAGAGCAUCUCCUGGAGAAGCCUGAAUUCUGUCUCAGCAGCUCAUUCUAUGUACUGCUCAUAGCUCAACCCACGUCCGUCAGUGUGGAUUCAGAGUUUUCAGUCACUUUGUGAUCACCCUGUAUUUUCAGAAGCAAUGAAAAGACAUGCAAAUAAUUUUCAGAGCAGAAAACUGAACCUAGCAAGAACCAUCUCUCUGACAGGAUGGGCCAAUGGUGACUUAAAGCAGAGCUCCCAUCUUGCAGUCUUCCAAACUUGCUCUUAUUCCUGUAAGAAAAAGGUGCAUCCAAAUCUUACAGCCCUUCACUAAUGGACUAGAUGACCUUUAAAGAUCCCUUCCAGCUCAAAUGAUUCUAUGAAUGUUGAGAAAUGUUGGGAAAAUGUUGAGAUUUAAAGAAAAAAGAGAGAAAAAAAUUGACAUGAAAGUGUGAAAUUAUUCUAGAUGCGCUGUCAAUUUCCCAAAGAUUGGAAGCAUUCAGAAAGCUAACAACUAACCCAAGGGGGAGAGUACGGAUAUGACAAUCCCUUUUGGAGAGAUGUUGCUUUCCUUUGCAGACCCUGCACAACUCCAUGGUGCUAGGUGCUGUAGAAACCCUUCAUUUGCCAGAUCAGUUUUCCAAACUAAGAGUCACUGUGACAAAGGAAAACCAUAACUUCUAUCUGCUUCACUGAUCAAAGGGGUGUUUCUGUUUAACUGACCUGGCACGAUUCACUUUCACAUGUAAGAUCAGCUGUAUGUACAUACUGAAUUCUCAAACUUGUAGAAAUAAACUGGGCAUCACACUGUGCCCUGAAGGGGAAACAAAUCUAAUAAUUUGGAGUGACCUAUUUGAUAUAAUAGUCAACAUUUAGUGCAGACAUGUGCCUUCACAUAUCUGAAAAAUAGGUGUACUAAAUGCAAGGUCUAUUUGGAAAUAUGUAAAAAAAAGCUUUCAGAAGAACUGAAAAUACCUCAAUUAGUUGAGGCAAAAGCAUAAGGAUAAAAUGGGGCAGGAAUGCAAUUAAUAGUUUUUAAAGGUGCGGUGUGCUCAUUGCUCAGUGAUUUACUAAUAGAUUUAUGGCAGAGAGCAGACUUUCAUGAGCUCAGCUAUUUCAGGCAGUGAAUGAUUCUGUUUGUAUUCUUUUGUAUCACAGGCAAAUAAAUACAGAACUGCUUUUAUCUAAUAUUUCUGCUUGUUCACUGGUCAGUCAAUUAACUCCUUUAGUGCAAAAUCCACUUUCCUUUUUUUUUUUUUUUACUAUUACAAAAAUAUUGUUUCCUUUCUGUAUCUCUAUGGCUAUGAUCACCAGGUAGAUAAAAGACAGUGAAGGAACGUGAGAGCUGCAGCCCUCCUGGGAGCACCGUGUGUCUGGCAAUGCACUGUGCACAGUGCUUGAAGAGGCCUGUAUCUAGAAGAAAAUC